Long non-coding RNA from Lemur catta (Ring-tailed lemur), 259 nucleotides. RefSeq lists it as uncharacterized. The record is from RefSeq and is a predicted model, not a curated record. The transcript is spliced from 3 exons. NCBI's taxonomy places the organism in Eukaryota, Metazoa, Chordata, Mammalia, Primates, Lemuridae.
CUGGAGUCCAGACAACUAGGAAAGACCGACUGUCUUGAGGUCAAGAACAGUUGCAGUCACAGGCCUGGCUCUGUUCCCUGUUUCGAAGAGAAGAUUGGGAUGGGUCACCAUUAAGAACGGUACUUUAUUGGUGGUUCUGCCUUCAAAACACCCACCAAGCCAAGCCACUGUCACCUUCCUCUGGAUGAGGCAGGACCCUUGCAAGUGACUGCCCACCUCCACCUGCCCCUGCACGGCCCACUCUCCAUCCGCAAGCCCA